AUUCUCCGGUAGGUGAGGCUACCACAGGGAUACGGAUUGCUACCGACUUUACGCAUGGAGACAUGCAACGUAUGGUUAGCAGGUCGUGUCGAAACCAAGGCACAAUCUAAUGCAAUUUCAUUGCCCUGUGAUGCUAAAGCUUGU
This 144-nucleotide small RNA is filed under the name human gut metagenome. RNAcentral's name for it is "M-box riboswitch (ykoK leader)". It matches the Rfam family "M-box riboswitch aptamer (ykoK leader)", at positions 4 to 153 of the family's 169-position model. From Rfam's summary of the family: M-box riboswitch, also know as ykoK leader is described as a metaloregulatory RNA that sense divalent metals and function as a genetic control element of genes related to divalent metal transport in bacteria. It was first reported upstream of the B.subtilis ykoK gene and genes with related functions in other bacteria. The record is from RNAcentral.